GACGAACGCUGGCGGCGUGCUUAACACAUGCAAGUCGAACGGAAAGGCCCUGCUUUUGUGCGGUUCUCGAUUGCCGAACGGGUGAGUAACACGUGAGUAACCUGCCCUUGACUUUGGGAUAACUUCACGAAACUGGGGCUAAUACCGGAUAGGAUCUCCUGCUGCAUGGUGGGGGUUGGAAAGUUUCGGCUGUUGGGGAUGGAUUCGCGGCUUAUCAGCUUGUUGGUGGGGUAGUGGCUUACCAAGGCUUAGACGGGUAGGCGGCCUGGGAGGGUGACCGGCGACAAGGGGACUAAGGGAGGGAGCAGUAGGGAACGGGAGGCAGCGGGGGGGAGUAUGACACAGUGAGCGGGCGCGUGAGGCGGCGGCGCUGGGUGCGGAAAGACGGCUUUUGGGGUGUGAACAGCUGUAGCAUGAGACGAAGCGGGAGUGACGGUAACGGAUAAAGAAGCACCGGCUAACUACGUG
This 468-nucleotide ribosomal RNA is filed under the name uncultured bacterium. RNAcentral's name for it is "partial 16S ribosomal RNA". It matches the Rfam family "Bacterial small subunit ribosomal RNA", at positions 28 to 507 of the family's 1533-position model. The record is from RNAcentral.